AGCGGGAUGGUAACAGCUGGUAGUUCGCGAGCCUCAUAAGCUCGAGGUCGAGGGUUCAAGUCCCUCUCCCGCCA
Molecule: transfer RNA, 74 nt
Filed under: Treponema sp.
Lineage: Bacteria; Pseudomonadati; Spirochaetota; Spirochaetia; Treponematales; Treponemataceae
Description: tRNA-Met
Rfam family: tRNA
About the family: Transfer RNA (tRNA) molecules are approximately 80 nucleotides in length. Their secondary structure includes four short double-helical elements and three loops (D, anti-codon, and T loops).
Source: RNAcentral